AUCCUCGGUCUAAUCCCAAAGCAGUCCUCCUAAAUUACACGUCUCUCUUCUUCCCUUUCCCCGCUAUGAUCUUCACCUUCACGUCUCCUCUGUUUCAAUUUCAUUUUUCUCCUUAUAAAAAACCCACCCACCUGUCAUUUCCUCUUCAUUGCUAAAGUUAGCUGCUUUGUUUCACUGACGCUGUUUGGUUGCAAAGCAAAUUUUCAGGAAACCAAGAGAUGAGUUUCGCAAACAAAGAGUACGAGUUUUUGUGUGAGAUCGGGUUGAGUUCUCGGACUCUGGGAAGUUACGUUAAUGGUACCUGGAAAGGAAAUGGCCCUGUUGUCUCCUCUUUGAAUCCUGCAAAUAACCAG
Carica papaya (papaya) is the source of this 353-nucleotide non-coding RNA. The record is from RefSeq and is a predicted model, not a curated record. Lineage: Eukaryota; Viridiplantae; Streptophyta; Magnoliopsida; Brassicales; Caricaceae.